RNAcentral lists this long non-coding RNA (246 nucleotides) under Carica papaya (papaya). Its description in RNAcentral is "long non-coding RNA (CPAP_LNC008744)". Lineage: Eukaryota; Viridiplantae; Streptophyta; Magnoliopsida; Brassicales; Caricaceae. The record is from RNAcentral.
GUGAAUUGAUAAAUGGAUAAGUCAACAGCCUCACUAGAUAUCCUAGGAGAUGGUGGACGGAACGAGUCCAUAGGGAACCCUACCGGGAACGUUGUCUCUCAUAUCGGACGGGGUAUAGAGACUUUAAAUGUUAUAAAUUAUGCUCCAUUGGUCGUUUUUUAUUUUCUACCAACCUUUACUUCUGUGAUAGUGAGAUAGUAUGACGUCUUUACUGGACUAGUGUAGCUCAUUCCUUACUUAACAAUU